AGAGUUUGAUCAUGGCUCAGGAUGAACGCUGGCGGCAUGCCUAAUACAUGCAAGUCGUGCGGAAAGGCCCCUUCGGGGGUACUCGAGCGGCGGACGGCAGAGUAACGCGUAGGAACAUACCCCAAAGUGAGGGAUAACUGCUCGAAAGAGUAGCUAAUACCGCAUGUGGUCUUCGGACUAAAGCUUCGGCGGUUUGGGAAUGGCCUGCGUUCGAUUAGCUAGUUGGUGAGGUAAUUGCUCACCAAGGCGACGAUCGAUAGCUGGUCUGAGAGGAUGAUCAGCCUGACUGGAACUGAGACACGGUCCAGACUCCUACGGGAGGCAGCAGUAGGGAAUUUUCCACAAUGGGCGAAAGCCUGAUGGAGCAAUACCGCGUGCAGGAUGAAGGCCUUCGGGUCGUAAACUGCUUUUAUGUGAGAAGAAUUUGACGGUAACACAUGAAUAAGGGUCGGCUAACUACGUG
This 463-nucleotide ribosomal RNA is filed under the name uncultured bacterium. Its description in RNAcentral is "bacterial SSU rRNA". It matches the Rfam family "Bacterial small subunit ribosomal RNA", at positions 8 to 507 of the family's 1533-position model. The record is from RNAcentral.